This 453-nucleotide ribosomal RNA is filed under the name uncultured Porphyromonadaceae bacterium. RNAcentral's name for it is "partial 16S ribosomal RNA". It matches the Rfam family "Bacterial small subunit ribosomal RNA", at positions 341 to 792 of the family's 1533-position model. The record is from RNAcentral. Lineage: Bacteria; Pseudomonadati; Bacteroidota; Bacteroidia; Bacteroidales; Porphyromonadaceae.
ACGGAAGGCAGCAGUGAGGAAUAUUGGUCAAUGGGCGGAAGCCUGAACCAGCCAAGUCGCGUGAAGGAUGAAGGUAUUAUGUAUUGUAAACUUCUUUAGCAGUGGAGUAAUAAGGGAGUCGUGACUCCUGAUGCAAGUACACUGAAAAUAAGGAUCGGCUAACUCCGUGCCAGCAGCCGCGGUAAUACGGAGGAUCCGAGCGUUAUCCGGAUUUAUUGGGUUUAAAGGGUGCGCAGGCGGCCUUGUAAGUCAGCGGUUAAAUCGUGGAGCUCAACUCCAUCCCGCCGUUGAUACUGCAGGGCUUGAUUGCGGUUGAGGUUGGCGGAAUUCGUCGUGUAGCGGUGAAAUGCAUAGAUAUGACGAAGAACACCGAUUGCGUAGGCAGCUUACCAGACCGUAAAUGACGCUCAUGCACGAAAGUGCGGGGAUCGAACAGGAUUAGAUACCCUGGUA